GUUGCAGGAACAAGGAGAUGCUUAGCCUAAGAAUCAGCAGGUCCUGGUCAAAAGCACUGCUUGGUCCUCUUCCUGACUUCCAUAGGAAAAAAGCAGCAAUGAGAGGCUAGCAUAGGAUGUGGCAACUCCUGAAUCUGAACAGCUGUCAGCUUUAGGACUGGGGGAUGUACUGUUGUGUAAUGUAUGUGGUAGCACUUGUUACUCUUGGUUCCACUAUGCAUAGCCACAAAAUAUCUUAAAAUAAAUUGGCCAUAUGUUUUCACAAAGUGGGUUAUACUCUGAAAUGACUUAUCUGUUUUGUUCAAGAAUUCUUCAUGUCCUGUUAUGCCUUUUUCAUUCAGAUGGCUCCUUGUUUUAAUACUGCAUGUGUUAUAUGGUAUCCAGAGUUCUGGUUUUGUUCCAGUGAUGUUUGCAGUUCAGCACUAUUUUCCUCAAGCUCUGUUUAAUAUUUUCAUCCCCAGAGUGGCACAGUGCAGUGGUACUUUUGUUUUGCUGCUGUAUUUGUGUUCUCUGUAUUUUCUUGAAGUGAUUUAUCUUGCAGGUAUGUAAAUAUGUGUCACUCAAUUUCAUACUAAAAUACCAACAGAAUAGCUAUUUCCAAGAUGCAUUUUUUCAUACUCUAUUUAGAUGCUAAUUAGAAUUCAUCUCUUAUACAGAUCUUGCUCAUCUUUUAUAUGGUUAAAUGUGCCUCCUGAAAAAACCAUCACCUGCUUUCCCUCCCAGUGGCUGGGAUCUGCUUCACCAUUGCCUUUCUCUAGGGCUGUUAGUAAUGCAGAAGAGCUGUUCUCAUCACUGAUGAUGUAUUUGUGUGAUAUUUAUAACAGGGGUGAUGGAUAACUGGAUUUGUCUGUAACUCGUGCAUAUUCUGAGGAUACAUUCAGUGUUUUAUCUCAUCUCUACAGUGGCAUCUUUGAGCAACAUCCGCAGCUAUUAAUGAAAAUGCUUCAGAAUAGAUCUAGCAAUAACAAGAUUUGAAUCCCACAUUCUUUGUUUUCUGUGGUUGUAUGUACACAUUUGAAACCCUGUCUCCUACCACAGCAAGUUCCUGUGCAGAAGAGUAGUUAUGAGUUGAGACUGAGGCUGUGAGAGGUGAAGUAGCUUUUAAAGUCAGUUCAGAAGGUCUCUUAAAUUGUAGGAUUGAGCUUUAACCACUAAGUUACUUUUCUUUUAAAUACUCGAUGACUUUACUAUGCUUUUAUACUUCUUUCAUUUGUGAUCUGUUCUAGUCUAGUUUAUCCCCUUUUCCUUUCUUAAAAAAAAAAAAAACACACAUAAAAAAUCUGUCAUUACAUGAGCCUGUUUUAUUUGCCUUUGCACUUAGCCUUCUUAUUUUUUUUCUUCAUCAAUUUUAAUCUUAACUUCUGUUUCCCUUUGGCUUUGCAUGGACUCUUUUUUUUCCCUUCUGCUUGAAGAUCAUGUUGUUUUAAGAAUGUUUUCCCCUCUGUCCUGUUCCACCACUUGGGGGGUAUUUAUUUGUAUAAACUUCUUCACCAGAGUGACAGAUACUAUUUUUCUUAUCUGAUUCAUGUGUGAUAUUCAUGAAUUACUACUAUGUAAUACCACAGAUCUUCUCUACCUUUAGCUUUCUAAAGAAGUCAUUCCAUUCUUGCCACAGUGCAGUCAGCUAUGCUUAUGUCAGUCCUAAUGGUUGUUUGUCCAACAUGUUGUGCGAGAGCUCCAGUGAUGGAGGCUGUACAACUACCCAGACAAAUCCUUUUCAGUAUCUCAUUAUUCUUAAUGCUUGAAGUCUAAUUCUCCACUCCCUUUGUGUCUUACCUGAGCUCUUUUUCUGUUCUUAAGGCCAUUAUUACUUCUGCAAUGUACCAAGGAUGUGGAAUGGGGAUUUCUUUUAUCUGCAUGUUUAAAAAAAAACUAUUGUCUCCCCAAUUUACUUUCAUUUAACUAACACUGCUGCUAUUAAUCUUUCUUGCAUAAGACGUCUUUUAAGAUGGAUAGGUCUGUUACUGCCUGUUAGUGUAGGAAGAGUCUGAAGGACCACAAAUAGUAAAUGGGGAAAAAAGUUGGACCCAACAGUACUGGCCCAACCACGCUUGACAGUCUUCAGCCUGGUUCAGCUGUUGGUCAGUUCUGCUGAGUCUCUACUGUGUUUGUAGAACGCCCCAUCCGUGAUUAUGGAUGUAUUUUAAGAUUUGCUAUGAUUAAAUUAAUGUUCAGUAGGUGUGAUCUGUGGAUAUGUCACAAAGGAAAACUCUGGCUUGUGUUUCCAGGCUCUCCUUAGCACCUUUGGAAUUUCCUAUCUCAUUACAGCCCUCAUCUCUUAUUUUACUUUUCAAUUGCUAAGUUGGUACUUCCCACUGAAGUUUGGAGAUCUACUAACUACCAUAUAGUGCCUCUUUUCCCAUAAAAUCUCAAGCUGGGUACACUUCCCAGAAGUAUUCAGAUACACAGACACAUAUAUAUGUUUCAGUCAUUCAUCCUUAAAAUAUGCUGUCAAAGCCAUUCUUCUACUGUUGGAACUCUGUUCUCAUGUUUCCUUUUGUUCUGUGGGAGUUGCUAAGAUUUCCCAUUGAAAUUUAUUUUAAAUGUUUGUUCUUUUGUGCAGAUUCACUGCACAGUCUUGUCUCCCACAGUGUAGAUGGGUUACAAUGGAGACGAUGGUAACCUGGCAGUGAUACAGGAGCACAUUACUUGCAGCUGCAGUGAGAUUUCACCCAGCAUUCUGUUGCAGAGCACUUCACACUUCCAAAUUAAUCAUGGUUUUCUCUCUGUUCUCAUUGCUUGGGCAAAUAUUUCAGUGUUGUGUAGACUUGGAGCAGUGAUCUAUGUGAGAACAAAGAUUCUUGUUUUCCUGCCUCUUGUAUAUGCUUACCUACCAAGCAAGCUUUUUAACACUUGAUAAAAUAAGUCUGUUUCCAUCAUGUAAUGAUACGUUUUUGUAAAUCUGAAUACGAGUAAAGAAAUUCAUGUCUGUUGCCAAAUGUUCUGGCUGGAUGCCAUCCCUGGUGUUCUGGCUUCAUCCAGAUGAUGAAUGUUCCCUGUCAAGCCUGCAGCCUAGUGAGAGAGGACAAUGGUACAGGAGUACUGUAAUUAUCUAAUCAACUUUGCUUUAGAAUGUUAAGCAAAUGCAAUGCUUUAAUACUCUGGUUUUACUAUGGCUGUUAAUUAGCACGUUUAAAUGCAAUUUAUACAGCAAAACUGAAUAGAGGAAAUAUUCACUUUUAAGUUACUUUACUCCCCUCUAGUGGUCUUAUACCAUAUGUACUUUUAUAUAACGCCUAAUCACAAUAGAUUUAAGGAUGAUGUUAAUAAUCUGAAAGAAAAAAAAAAAAGAAAGAAACAACUGUUAACUACUCACUCCUCUGCUCAUUAUCUCUUCCUGCAGUGAAACCAGACAUUUGUCAAUGUAACUCCCUAAACUAAACUGUUCUUUUUAUGUUGACUCUAGUAAAACCCAGUCUGCACCCACAGCUUUAAAAUCAACAUGCAUUAACAAAUCCUAAAGCUGUGUACUGAGCCAUUUUUUCCCUAUGCCUUCCAACUUGUUUCAAAGGGACUUUAGUUUCAACGUUAGUGACUCAAACUGCAACCAAGGAUGUAGAAACGUCAGCAGAAACCAAUCACAUCUGUAUUGCUCUAUUUUCAUUCUGUGACAUAUGUCAGUUUUAUUGUGCACCUAAUGUCAUUUGAGCCUCUACAAGCUGUGGGACAUGCAGAGGCUGCUGAAUGACUGGGAUCUGCCUUUUAAGCUUGCCAACUGGCCACUUUGUGGAGGAUGAAGCUUCUACUAGCUGGGAAACAGAUGAGAACAUACAGGAUCAGAAUGGAAACUGCCACUUGUCAAUAAUCCCCCUGGCUCUUUGCUCAUAUUAUUGAUGUUGUAACCAACAAUGCAGAGGUAUGUAGCACAGGCUUUGUAAAGCAGCAGUUACAUUUCUUGCCAUAUUUGUUCUUGUGUUCUAGGGUCUGUUUUUAAAGGCUUUGAAAUGAGUUGCUUAUACAGUAGGCUUGGAGAACAUAAGAUGCAUGACUCCUUUCUCCUUUUUCUGCUCAGAAAUUUAUUAAGAAAUAUGUACAUUGAGGAUUUGCUUUUCAGAAGCCAGCUGCUCUUUUCAAACAACCUGUUUGGAACUUGCUCUUUUUUUCCUAGAUUGUCUUGGAGUAUUAUUUGGAAGAAAAGAAAGGGAAAGAAGAAGGACACAGUCAAUAAAGAAAAGGUCAUUAACAGAUAGUUCUAAUAAACAGGAACUGAGCCAGUGGAUGCUUUGACUCUACUUAUCAUUUUGUAUGUCUGAGCAGUCCCUUUGACCAAUUCAUCAACCAAGGAGUUUAACUUGUUCUCAACUCUUCUCUUGGACAGCAGAGUCAACAGUCAAGCAAGAUCAAAAUCAAUCACAUGUACACGUGUAGGAAGCAGCUCUCUGCAUCAAAUCCAUGUAGGAGUUCCAUAGGCUUGCAACUUCAGGAAUGUGUAUGCUCCUCCUGCAAGAAGCGAACGGGUCAUUUAAGAGCUCUGUGACUUAGCAUGGAGAUGAAGAGCAACUUGUGAAGCAAACCUAUCAAAGGAGUUGUGGUGUAUAAAGAACCUUGCAGCUGACGGGCAUUUUGAGACAAUGAGGACUGCCUGCUGAUGCUUUAUGAGCCUGGUGGAACAGCCCCCGCGCUGAGUCUCACAUCCUACAGAAGGAGAGGGAGGAAUGUUUGCCUGACGUGAGAAGGACCAGCUCACUGCAGGGCAGGAAAGGGGAAGGAUGGUGCUUCACAGCCCUGCUGCUGGACACAGAACACUGGCACCAAAAACUUCAGUUCUCCAGUUUUAUGGAGAUAGAAUAGCAGGAUGAACAGGUAUGUCUGGAAAGAUUAGCUCAAUCCUAAUAAUGCCGUCACAGUAUAGAAUGGAGUAUUUCUAUCUGUGAUGCUGAUAAGCAUGAGGCAGUGCACUGUGGUAUGGCUUGCUAUGUAUCUUUUAUUAGAGGAAUGCACCUGAUUUGUUUUAAAGGGUGUGUGUGUUUAGGGGAUUGGGGGGGAGUUGCUAUGUAAAUAUUUUGGGUCAUUGCAGUUGGGUAUCAGCUUGGACACAAAGAUAGUCUGUCUUCAUCCCCUGAUAUAAUUCAUUUAACUAUGACUAUUCUCCCCUGCUUUUUGGCUCCGGUUGUAAUCCAUACCACCCUCAACCUCCAAGAAAUGCUAUCAGAUCCUCUGGGGUUGUCACUGACAAUCAUCUGGAAGAACUGACGUUCCGAAUAAGCAGUUGAUUAUGUGUGAUGUCAAAUCCCUCUAGGCACAUAACCAUAAUGCUAUAUGCUUUGUUCUCAGCAUCUCUCAGUUCUGGAUUCGAUCCCAGUUAAUCUGAACGUUCAGCUUUUUGCCAUUAGGGACGGUGAUCAACUGGAUCAUCAGAAUUACUGCUUUGUUUUCUUGAAUGAAACCUUUGAGUGGAUGACAAGUACUUCUGGGGCUGAAUAGAAAUCCAUUUAUGUAGGUGUUCUUCAAAGCCCAAAAUGUUUGAAAAUACUCAAGUGCUAUUAGGAAUGUGCAUGGAUAACCCUUAUUCAUAGCUCUGCUGAGCAGCAGAGAGCAGAAGUUGCUGUAAAUCUUUUGCCUGUGACAGUGUAUUUUUCUAGUGGUUGGAGAACCCAGGUUGGCACUAUCUUAAAGCUGUGAAUAAUUUAAAUACUUCUAGUAUGUAAACAUAUUAUUUAAAAUGACACAUCACCAGUUGAUGAUGUGCUGCAUAUUUCACUAGAUUAAUUAACGGACAGCCCACAUAUCAUGUAACAUUACUUCAUAUAGUGUAAUCCAUAUUUCUGCAACCAUGCAAGAUACCAAAUAAUACAUCAUUAAAUGUCCUCGAAGAUAUGAGAAAAUCAUCCCCUUAGCCUGGCAUAUAGGGUGGACAUUUUUUUUUAAUUCAUCUAGAAAAUUGAAGCUGUUGCAACAGAGCACGCUGCAAACAAAAGAACAUUAGAAUAAAUAGUAAACCAAAAUUCCUGUUACAACUUACACUUGCUUACCAGUAGAUUCUAUAAACAUAACUGCUAAAUAUCUAACAGCAUUUUAUUUUUGGCACUGGUGUGGCUUAAAGAUACUGACCUCCUAUCUUCGUGAAGUAGAUGGUCAGAUUUUAUUGUUCAUGCAGGUAAGUGAAGGAAGAGAAUUGCAUGUCAGUGUUCUGCACCUUCUGGAUUUCUUAACUGCAAGGAGAGUUGCUACCACCUGGUCUCUGCUACUGUAAAUGAGUUUUACUUUGCCACUCCUAAGGAAAUGCAAAAUCCUUUGCACAGUGUUAUACUGUCACCUCAGUAAGCGUUGGCUUGAAAAUAUCUGCUCUAUGAAAUCCUUUUGUGGUAGACUGACAUGAAAAACAAGCAUGAGAAAUCAAAUUCCUAUUUAUCCACAUUGAUUGUAGCAGGAAAAUGAACGUUUCAGAUUUAUUGAACUCCCUCACAUUUCUGUGGUGCAAACUACAAAUCAGUAACAUUCUGCAUGCAAACUCAGUUAAUUGCACUGUGUCCUUUUGUACAGGCUACAAAACAGUGGCACAGGGUUUGGGUUGUUACUGUCUCGGGCCUGUUCAGACACACUGAAGAGCUGUGCCCUGAACAGUAUUACUUCUUUCUUUUGUCAGUAUCUCCUAUUAUGUCACUGCAUGUCUAUAUUGUACCUGUGUUUUCCUGUUGCCGUGUUAAUCAGUGACACCAGAGUGGCCAAAAUCAAAUGACUGCCCAUUACCUCUAUGAUAAAAAUCAGACAAAAUGCUUUGAAUGUUGUUACAGUGCCAAGCACAUGCAGCUACAGCACUUCCUGUAGUAGCUUAUGUGCUUCUGUGAAUGUUUAGAAGGAUAUUGCACGUGUGUUAUAUAUAUAUGUGUGUGUGUGUGUGUAUAUAUAUAAAACAAAUAGUACUGUAAAAGGAGAUUUAAACAUCUUAUUUGAAAUAGCAUCAUUUUAUUUCGUCAUUGUACUUAAGCUGCAAACAGCCUUGUACCAGUGAGUCUGACAUGGGCCUUCUUUCCCUAAGACAUUGUACCAGCAGCACGCAGCACACUCGGCAUUACCUUUGGCAGUGGCUUGGCAGCUGUGCUGGUGCUCAGCUAUCCCUGCCAAAAUACUAGUAAGUGAAGAGCAGCUGAAUGCAUAAAUAUCGGUUAUUCUCAGUCCACGAUGGUUGCUUUUGCUGGUUUUGUCUUUUCUGUAUAUGUUGGAACAGGGUUGUUCUGGUCUGUAUCUACUGUCUGGGGAAUCUAACCUGGGACUGAGUUCUGACUAUUAACCAACACUGCCCGGACACUUCAUUCAGAGUUGCAGUUUCUUACAUUCCAGGGUGGCGGUGGGUUUCUUCAGAUUUGUGAGCCAGCCUCAGCAGAGCAUGCCAGCAACAAAACAAACAGAACCCCAGAAGGACAAACUGCAGGAUGUGUUUUCUUUCCUUGAUAAGGACGAGGGAUGCAGUCGUUCCGGAGCUGUCUGUACAGAAUUAGGAGCAUAUACGGGUGUGCUCUCUCACCCUGAGAAAGCCACAGAUCUGUUAGAUAUUAGGGCCAGGUUAUGGCUUGAGUUUUCUUGGUCUUGUAAGUACUGAGCUGAAGUCUGGUGCUCGAGCUGUUGCUGUCCCUGUUCAUUGCAGGGGAGCUGGACUGGAGGGCCUUUAAAGGUCCCUUCCAACUCAAACAGUGCCGUGAGUUGGAGAAGAGCUUUUCAUUGACAUCAGUAAAUUACAGCAUGGUUAGCAACUCCACCUUAGCAUUAGGAGCUGUGUGCGAUUUUGAGAGCAGAAAAGCAUCUCUUGUGGAAUUCUGGAAGUUAAUGUACGGAGCUUUCUUGUUACCCCUACCAUCCUGCCUGUGUUUUAUUUCCAGCGGGCACUCCUUGGUGCAGACUCGUCAUUCCCCCGGCCCUGUGCUAACAGUUUGGAUUGUAUGGGUUGUGUUGAUUCUAGCGUGGGCCACAUUGAAUGUGUUUGUUUUCCACCACUGAAAGUUGAUCUAUGUCAUCCUUGUGUGCGAAUUGCCCCUGCCAGGGGUGGAGUGUGCAACUUCCACUUUGAGGAGUUCAUCUUUCAUUUUGCUAAAAAAUAGCUGCUGGAGACCAAGAAUCAAGAAAUUCAGUGCUAUAAGACACACAGUUAUUCACAAAAGUACUCACUGUGCCUCUCUUGCCCUUAACUCAGCUUUCCUGUAAACCAGGGUCAGAAUUGUGACUGUGAUAAUGCUAAUAAAAUCUAUCAGAGCCACAAAUGAACAAAUCCACUGCUUCUACCAGUGGAAUAAAGCAAAACUGGAUCUAUGGCAUUAAGAUUUUCCACUUAAUUCUUGGUUUCUCUCAUUUAAAUGGGGCCACUUUGAUAGUGUACUGACCCACGUGUACCAAACUUGGACUCUUGCUCUUUCAGCUUUUGCCCCAGGGCUUUCAAAGCGGUGGGUCCCUAUCUCUGCCAUGCUAAGUAAAAGGCAGUAUUGUCGGCUAUGCGGGAUCCUUGAAGGUGAAGCUCCCCUCGCUGCUGUUUUUCCUUAUAAGGGAAGUAGAGAUGCUAUGUUUUACUUUUUGAACGCUGUUAACUGGAUGCAUAAUACUGUACCUUUAGAACUCGUCUGUUUCAGACGGAGCUGCGGCAGUCCCCCGUGUCGCUGUAGGCGUUUACUCUGCAGCUUAACGUAACCGAGCUCUCGCUGCUGCCUCCCCCUCCCGGGACCCGUGGGGUGACCGCAGCGGGCAGCGGCCGAGCCCCGACCCCGGGCAGCACCGCCUGCGGGCCGGGGUCCGUCGGGGCGCAGGUGCCCUCAUGCUCGGGGCCGCCGAGCGCCCGACACGGCCGCCUUCCACCCCCGGAGCUCCCGGGGUGGCGGUUCGGGGG
This is a long non-coding RNA of Gallus gallus (chicken), 8812 nucleotides long. RefSeq lists it as uncharacterized. The transcript has 6 exons. NCBI's taxonomy places the organism in Eukaryota, Metazoa, Chordata, Aves, Galliformes, Phasianidae. The record is from RefSeq and is a predicted model, not a curated record.